Molecule: ribosomal RNA, 467 nt
Filed under: uncultured bacterium
Lineage: Bacteria
Description: partial 16S ribosomal RNA
Rfam family: Bacterial small subunit ribosomal RNA
Source: RNAcentral
GACGAACGCUGGCGGCGUGCUUAACACAUGCAAGUCGAACGGAAAGGCCCUGCUUUUGUGGGGUGCUCGAGUGGCGAACGGGUGAGUAACACGUGAGUAACCUGCCCUUGACUUUGGGAUAACUUCAGGAAACUGGGGCUAAUACCGGAUAGGAGCUCCUGCUGCAUGGUGGGGGUUGGAAAGUUUCGGCGGUUGGGGAUGGACUCGCAGCUUAUCAGCUUGUUGGUGGGGUAGUGGCUUACCAAGGCUUUGACGGGUAGCCGGCCUGAGAGGGUGACCGGCCACAUUGGGACUGAGAUACGGCCCAGACUCCUACGGGAGGCAGCAGUGGGGAAUAUUGCACAAUGGGCGGAGGCCUGAGGCAGCAACGCCGCGUGCGGGAUGACGGCCUUCGGGUUGGAAACCGCUUUCGCCUGUGACGAAGCGUGAGUGACGGUAAUGGGGAAAGAAGCACCGGCUAACUACGU